RNAcentral lists this ribosomal RNA (451 nucleotides) under uncultured bacterium. RNAcentral's name for it is "partial 16S ribosomal RNA". It matches the Rfam family "Bacterial small subunit ribosomal RNA", at positions 29 to 523 of the family's 1533-position model. The record is from RNAcentral.
AACGAACGCUGGCGGCAGGCUUAACACAUGCAAGUCGAACGGGUGUAGCAAUACAUCAGUGGCAGACGGGUGAGUAACACGUGGGAACCUUCCUAGGGGUACGGAACAACUCAGGGAAACUUGAGCUAAUACCGUAUACGUCCGUGAGGAGAAAGAUUUAUCGCCCUUAGACGGGCCCGCGUCGGAUUAGCUAGUUGGUGGGGUAACGGCCUACCAAGGCGACGAUCCGUAGCCGAUGGUAGAGGAUGAUCAGCCACACUGGGACUGAGACACGGCCCAGACUCCGACGGGAGGCAGCAGUGGGGAAUCUUGGACAAUGGGCGCAAGCCUGAUCCAGCCAUGCCGCGUGAGUGAAGAAGGGCUUCGGAUUGUAAAGCUCUUUUGCCAGGGACGAUAAUGACGGUACCUGGAGAAUAAGCCCCGGCAAACUUCGUGCCAGCCGCCGCCGUAA